Gorilla gorilla gorilla (western lowland gorilla) is the source of this 4985-nucleotide non-coding RNA. NCBI's taxonomy places the organism in Eukaryota, Metazoa, Chordata, Mammalia, Primates, Hominidae. The record is from the annotation of a RefSeq genome assembly.
UCACUGCCCAGCUGGGAUCUCAGGGCUUCAUUUUCUGUCCUCCACCAUGAUGGGGUCAACCGCCAUCCUCGCCCUCCUCCUGGCUGUUCUCCAAGGAGUCUGUGCCGAGGUGCAGCUGGUGCAGUCUGCAGCAGAGGUGAAAAGGCCCGGGGAGUCUCUCAGGAUCUCCUGCAAGGGUUCUGGAUACAGCUUUACCAGCUACUGGAUCGGCUGGGUGCGCCAGAUGCCCGGGAAAGGCCUGGAGUGGAUGGGGAUCAUCUAUCCUGGUGACUCUGAUACCAGAUACAGCCCGUCCUUCCAAGGCCAGGUCACCAUCUCAGCCGACAAGUCCAUCAGCACCGCCUACCUGCAGUGGAGCAGCCUGAAGGCCUCAGACACCGCCAUGUAUUACUGUGCGAGACACACAGUGAGAGAAACCAGCCCCGAGCCCGUCUAAAACCCUCCACACCGCAGGUGCAGAGUGAGCUGCUAGAGACUCACUCCCCAAGGACCUCUCUAUUCAUCCGGGGAGGAAACACUGGCUGUUUGUGUCCUCAGGAGCAAGAACCAGAGAACAAUGUGGGAGGGUUCCCAGCCCCUAAGGCAACUGUAUAGGGGACCUGACCAUGGGAGGUGGAUUCUCUGACGGGGCUCUUGUGUGUUCUACAAGGUUGUUCAUGGUGUAUAUUACAUGGUUAACAUCAAAAGGCUGCCUAACAGGCACCUCUCCAAUAUGACAGUAUUUUAAUUAGUGAAAAUUUUACACAGUUCAUCAUUGCUUGCUUGCUUUCCUCCCUCCUAUCCACUCUCACUCACUCCUUAUUUUCUACUUAAUUUUACAAAAUCAUUUAAUCCCUUUUUGAACUAUUAAUAGGUUAUCUUUGUUUGGUGAUUGUUUUCCUUUCAAUAAUAUGUACUGGAUAAUUAAUCUUUGUGCCAAUUCGUAAGUAUUCUGGUGUAAUGAAGACUUCUUUCAUAAAAAUUGGAUAAAUUCAAAUAAAGAUAAAUUUUUAAAAACAUACGAUCUAUCAAAACUGAACCAUUAAGAAAUAAAAAAUCUGGGUUGGGUGUGUUUGCUCAUUCCUGUAAUCCCAGCACUUUGGGAGGCCGUGGCCGGUGGAUCACCUGAGGUCAGGAGUUCGAUAUCGGUCUGGCAAACGUGGAGAAACCCUGUCUCCACUAAAAAUACAAAAAUUAGCUGGACAUGGUGGUGCUCGCCUAUAGUCCCGGAUACUUGGGAGCCUAAGACCAGAGAAGAGAUUGAACCCGGGAGGCAGAGGUUGCAGUAAGCCAAAAUCUAGCCACUGCAUUCCAGACUGGGCAACAGAGUGAGACUCCAUCUCAAAAAAAAAAAUCUGAACAGACCCAUGAGUAAAGAGAUUGAGUCAGUGAUUUUUCAAACAUCUCAAAUCAAAGAAAAGUCAAGAACUUCAUGGCUUCACUACUGAAUUUUAUGAAAAAUUUUAAAAAAACUAGAAUCUCUAUACAAAUUUCCAACAAAAUAAAGAGGAAAAAAUACAUGCAAGCUUAUUAUGGAAGGUCCUAUUUCCAAAGCAAGGAAAAGACACUCCAAAUAAAUAAAAUUACAGGCUAAUAUCCCUGAUUAUCUAGUUUCAAAAACUCUCAAGGGUGAUGAGAAACCAAAUUCAACAGCACAUUAACAAUAGAAUUCACCAUGAUCAGGUGCGGUUUAUCUCUAAGAUGCAAUGAAGUUUCAACCUGCAGAAAUAAAUGUGAUAUAUCAAAUUAAAAUAUUGAAGGACUAAAACCAUAUGCACCAUAUGUCCAUGUCAAUAGAUGCAGAAAAAGCCUCUGUCAAAAUCCACUACACUCUAAUUUUUAAAAAUCUGAACAAAUUAUGCAUAAAAGGUAUACACCUCAACAUAAUAAAGACUGCAUAUCACAAGCCCACAACUAACAUUAUACACAGUGACGAAAAUUUUAUUUUCCUCUAAGACUAGAAACUAGACAAGAUGCUUCACUAUCACCAAUAUUACUAAACACAGCACUGGGCGGUCUAGACAAAACAGGCAAGAAGAAAAAAUAGAAGUCAUCCAUAUAGUAAUGAAUAAAUUUUAAAUAUAUGUUUUACAUAUUAUAUGCUCUUCUGUAUACAAAGCCCUAAAUACUCCACCAAAAAAGAUUGAAACUAAUGAAGAAAUUCAAUAAAGUUGCAGAAUCCAAAAUCAAACUUACGUUUCAAGAUGGCAGGUUAGAGGCAUUGCUAGUAUACCUCUUCCACUUGGAAGGACAAACUGAUGUGGAGAGAUGAACAUUGUGGGCUUAUUUUCAAGAAGCAAUGCAGGAACUGAACAGAAACACUGAAAUAAUCUACAAACUUUCUGAAAAAGCAGGAAGCUGCAGCCUACACUGUGAGCCAGGUGAAGGGCUGGGAGUCCCCAGCAUUUGAGGGAGAACAGCCAAAAAUUUCAGCCAGUGGUCCCAGGUUGAAAGUAGCUCUCAACAGGGGUGUGUAAUAUAACCUAGGGUUGGGACGAAUCCCCUUGGCCAGAGCCUGGGUAGGGAAGUGUUAAAAGUGGGCUCUGCAAGUUUAGGAGCCAUGGGUGCAGGAGCUGGUGCCCUGCUUUGCAGCAGACAGGAAGGGGCAUGGCAUGAAACCCAUGGCUGCAGUCUCCAUGGGGACAGCCUAUGACUCCUGGCAUUUGCAGGUAUUGAUCACAGGUUGACUGAAACUCAUCUAACUGCUGCCAGUGGAACACCAUGGGAGUGGAUCAGCCUCACCAAGUGUGUGGGAACUGUGUGGGGCCUGCCACCACCUGCCACUCCCCACCCCCUGCCCAAACUUCUGUGCAGCAGAGGCAGCCAUGGUCCCAUCUGGAACAUCAUCCCAGUGGCCUGAGAACCACCCCUGUCCCCCACACCCACAGGGCCUGCUGCUUGCCCUGCAUACAGAGACUCAGAGCAGAAACCCACCUGGCCCUACCCUCACCUUGCUUUGUGCAGCCACUUGCCCUGGCAGCUUAACACAAAGGACAGCAUCUUUUGGGAGCUACAUAGCCACACACACUGCCUAAGAAUCCAUAGUAGCCCCCAUACCUGGGCAACACAAGGCUUGCAAAAAUCCCACUGCUAAUAAUGCAGCUGGUGCUCUUUUGCAAGCACCACCUCUUAGCUGGAGGCCAACCAACAGUCUAUUACAGUAUCUCCUGGUAGACUAACACUGCAUCCUGGAAGGAGAAAAUGACGGUGCGAUCUCAGUUAUCACCAUGGCCUGCACCACUUUGGAUGACCAGGAGAUCCUGAGUCUCUCCAUGUGACCAGUUCAUUACUACUAUAACCAGCAUUCAAGAAUGCCAGUACACAAAGGCUAUCAAUAUCCAUGGAAUUUCACAGAGUCUCCAUCACUCUCCUGCCUGCCACUCCCAUCAGACCCGGUUCUGCUGCUCACUGUUGAAAAAUAUGAGGACAGUUCACAUCACUGGAUCACUUAGAGACAUUUGCCCACACCAGCCUGAAGUGUGUCAACGUCACUGGGCAGCUAGACCUAGAGAAGAAACAUAACUCACAGUACCAUGGCUCCCAGGUUCUCCUCCUCUUAGGGGAAGGGAGUCCACCACAUUGAGGGAACACCCCAUGGGACAAGAGAAUCUGGAUGGCAGGCCUUGAACACCAGAUCCCUCCACUGGUGGGAAACUUCUUCUUGCAGAAGUACUGUUGCAGCACUGGGCUCAGCUGGGAAAGUCUUCAGCUCUUUCUCAACAGACAGCCCUGUUGCUUGUGAAGAAUCUUGAAGAAGAGGACGCCUUUCCCCCUUGUACCCCACUGCAGGCACACUUGGGGUCUCUCCCACAAGACCUCAGCAUGGGUGCAACUAUAGACAGCCUUUCUGGAACACAUCAUUGUGACUGCAUCCCCCAGAAAGAGCACUUUCUGGAUUCAGGCUUGCAUGAGACAGAGAGUCACAGUUCCUCUCUAUUUGGCACAUCAACAUUUGUACAGAUGAAAAAACAUGCCUGUCUUAUCUGAAUAGCCAGAAUACUGGGACAGCAGUAGGUCUGAGAGGUGGAUAAAUUUCCUACUGACUUGACAAGAGAGCUGAGGUGGUUCCAACCCUUCCCACCGAUAAGACCUCAGUGUGACUCACUAAAAACUCUUUCAGCCAACUCUGUCAAGGCUGGGACUUAAUUUACCCACCUGCUUUAGCCACAACUAGUUUCUACCCAAGGAAAAGUCCUCCACUGAUCUGAAGCUUGAGCCAUCAAACAAGUAAAUAAAUCACUGGGGACAAAUAAAAUAAAUACAUGCAUGCCACAGAGGAAUGACAUAAGGUUUAAGAGACCUCUACCAUUCUAACCCCAUAGAAGAUAGUGAACUUGCUCACAGACUGAGCAGAUUUCUACUGCAAUCAACACAUAGGAAAGCCAUCAUACAAAGAGUCUCCAUAACCACGGAACUCUUACAGAGUCUUCACCACUCUAAGGACCAAAAACCAAAUCAGGUUGUAAUUAAUUAUAAGCAUUAAAGUCUCAUUCUUAAGGGAAAAAAAUCCAUUUAAAAACAAACACAAGAAACAGUCAAAUCAAACAUAAAUUCAAUAAUAAUUAGAAAAUCUACCAAAAUGAGAGGAAAUGAGAAAAAUAAUUGGGGAAAAUGAGAACACAGGGUGCUGUGCCAGUGCCGAAAGGUCACAAGGUCACACUACCUCUCCAGCAAUAAACCAUAACAAAAAUGGAGUCUUUGAAAUAUCAGAAAAGAAAAUCAGAAUGUUGAUUGAUAAGCUACUCAAGAAGAUAUCAGAAAAAGGCAAAAAUCAUAAUAAAUAAAUUUAUAAAACUGUUCAGAAUAUAAAUACAAAUUUUUACAGAGAGAUAGACAUCCUAAAGAGAAACCAAUCGGAACUCCUGAAAAUUUAAAAAAACGCAGGGAAUUGGAAAGGGAAUUACAAAAUGCCAUGGAAAGUUUGAAAAAUAGACUAGAAAAAAGUAGCAGAAAUAACAAUAGACUAGAAACAGUACAAAAUAAAAGUAGAAGUAAAAUAUUCGAGG